AACUUAAGAAUAACUGCUCUUAUCUUUUCAUUUUUUUGUAAGAGGAAAUAUUAUUAAAUAUUUGUGAGAUUAUUAAAUAUUCCUUUUCUCGAAAAGAAAAAUCUUGAAGCCCAAGUUUGUGACCUUGUAUGAGUUCCCAUUCAAAAAGGCCCAUCAUGCCAAAUGUUCAAAUUUCCAAAUCUUGUGUCUGAAACAGUUUCCAAACUCAACUGUAAAUAGAGUGUUAAUAGAGUGGAGCAAUUUGAUAAAUAAACGAAAACAAUCAAUAUCUCAUUGCUGACGUAAUAAAUAGACAACAAAGAAUGGAUCGAUAUAUAUAUAUGAUACAAUAUAUCAUUCAUCACCUCUCAUCACCUCCCACAACAAAUUAAUAUAUCAGCCAAAACUCCUCAUCAAUGGAGAAAGAAUAAAAAUAAUAAUUAAUGUUUCAAGAAACCAAGAAGGGAGACAACAAGGGAGAAUCCAACAAUGGCACCAGAGACUGGCAAAGAGAACCCAGCUCCAGCAUCCAUCGGUGCUGGUGCAGGAGCCAUCUCGCUUUCUUGAGCAGAAACAACAGCGAAUGUAACAAUCACUAGGAGGAGCAAGAAUGCCCGGGAGAGAGUAACCUGAGUGGCAGCCAUUGCUAAUAAUACAAAGAGAAUGGAGAGAAGAAAAGGAGAGAGAUUGAUGUGUUUUCUUUGUAAAGCUUAGGUCUGGGAGCUUGGCUUUAGACAAAGAGAAUGUGUUUGUGUUUCUGAACUAGGUUAAACUCUCUAUUUAUAGGAGGUUUAUGUGGCCAGUGGGUCCUAAAAGGUAUCCUUUGCCUUUAUUUUUUUAGUACUUUAUUAACGACUAGAAACUUUAAAUUUUCUGGAAUAAUAAUCGGCUGGCAACGUUCACCUAACUGUAACAACAGCUAGCUGUCUUUUUUAUGCGUGAAAGUUAUACAGACUGUGACCAAAAAAGUUAACAGAGUAUGACACGUGGGUUUGAUAAGUAGUCUAGGUGUUUCGGUGGUGGGGACGCAGCAUUGUUGCCCGACACGUUGCAGCAGUUGUGCGAUCUGUGAGAAAAUGAAUGUCGGCAAGUUCUUGAAUGUUUGUUUUUGUUUUAAGAACCAGCAUAUUUUAAAAAUAUAUUUAGUUUUUAAGAUUAUUAAAUUAAUAUUUUUUAAAUGAUUUAAUGAUAUUUUUAUGUACUCAUAUUAAAAAUAAAAAAAUAUUUAAAUAUAUUUUUAAUUAAAAAAUGUUUAUCACAGUACCAAACAUUUCUAGCCCAUCAUUCAAGGUGAGAUAGAUGUAAAACUUUAAUGAUUUUUUUUCAAAUUAUUAUGGGUUGGCAUUUUUUAUUGGUUGGUUUGAUUUACAGUUUUAGUUAUAAUGAAUCAAGGUAUUUUAUUUAUGAUUCAUUUGCUUCAAGAAAUCCAUGAUUGAAAGGGCUAAAUGCAAGAUACUAAUACAAUAUACUUGGGUUUGGUAGAAAGUUAAACCCAAAUAACAUGGCUCUGGUAAAAUAUCAGAACCAAUAUUUUUUUGUUUAGCCACGUGCAGAGCUCAAGAGCAUAUAUAUAUAUAUAUAUAUAUAUAGCAAGAUGUCAUACCCAAUUCCUUGGACUCAGCUACACAUUGAGCCCAAGUACUUCUAGGUCUGGCAAGAUACUAGAGUCAACACUCUUAAAUUCUGCCACACGCUGAUCUCAAGUGCAUAUUAGUCUGGUACGAUGUUAAAUCCAACAUUCUUUGAUUUGGAAUCAUUCCAAGACCAGAUACAUAUAGAAUUGAUAGUCUUUAUAGGCCUCAUAUCGAGUUACAAAGCUAUUUUUAUGAUUCUAAGAAUCUAGAAUAGUCAUUUCUCUACACCUCUCUAUAUAUAAAAAUCUUUCAACAACAUCUCAUGUUCCAAUUAACAUUAAUGUUGAUAUAAGAGUUAUUUCCAUCAAUAUUAAUAUUGUGUAAGAGAUAUUUAGAUCAACAUAUUAUUAUUGAUGUAAUGGUUAUUUCCAUUAACAAACAAAACAACGAGGUUCAAGAAGUAUAAAUAAUAUUUUUUUUAGUUGAAGGGAAAUAUCUAAAUACAUAUCUUAUUCUUUUCAAUAAUUUUAUAUUUAUAGCAAUUAAAUACUAUUUUUACUCCCCUAAUUGAUUAAUGAUUGAUUAUAAAUAUCUAUGAUCUAUAUUCUCUAUAAAUAAAAGUAAAAAAAUGGAAAAGAAUAAAGUUAUAAAGGAUUCGAAAUAUUUUAUUCGAUCACAUAUCAUUGAAAAAAUAGAUUAACAUAAAUACGACAAUAAAAAAAGAUAAUACAAAAAUAUAUAAACUAUAAAAACAAGUCAAAGUGAAUUGUUAUACACUAGGAGCACUGAAAAAUAUCCUCUUAGCCUUUCAGAACAAACACCCUAUUUUCAUACCUUUUGAUACAAAUUACGAAAAGACAAAAUUGAAUGUACCAAUUUAGAUGUGAUUUGCUUACUGAAUGCCUUAUAUUUGUUUUUACAAAACAUUAUUUCAUGUUAUACACCAAACUAAACAAGUCGGGAUGUUGGCUCAUCUCCUUCACUGUGAAAGUGGUCCUUUUUUUUUUUAAUUAUUGUUAAUAUGAAUUUAGAUGCCUUCACUGUGUUUAUCUAGUGAAGCCCAAGUUUGUGAUCUUAUAUGAAAUCCCAUUUACAAAAGGCCCAUCAUGCCAUUUGUUCAAAUUUCCAAAUCUUGUGUUUAAAACAGUUUCCAAACGCAACUGUAAAUAGAGUGUUAAUAGAGAGUGGAGCGAUUUGAUAAAUAACGAAAACAAUCAAUAUCUCAUUGCUGGCGUAAUAAAUAGACAACAAAGAAUGGAUCGAUAUAUAUAUAUAUAUAUGAUACAAUAUAUCAUUCACCUCUCAUCACUCUCCCACAACAAAUUAAUAUAUCAGCCAAAACUCCUCAUCAAUCGAGAAAGAAAUAAAAUAAUAAUUAAUGUUUCAAGAAACCAAGAAGGGAGACAACAAGGGAGAAUCCAACAAUGGCACCAGAGACUGGCAAAGAGAACCCAGCUCCAGCAUCCAUCGGUGCUGGUGCAGGAGCCAUCUCGCUUUCUUGAGCAGAAACAACAGCGAAUGUAACAAUCACUAGGAGGAGCAAGAAUGCCCGGGAGAUAGUAACCUGAGUGGCAGCCAUUGCUAAUGAUACAAAGAGAUUGGAGAGAACAAAAAAAGAGAGAUUGAUGUGUUUCUUUGGAAAGCUUAGGGCUGGAGCUUGGCUUUAGACAAGGUGUAUGUGUUUAUGUUUUCUGACCUAGGUUAAACUCUAUAUUUAUAGGAGGUUUGUGUGGCUAGU
RNAcentral lists this long non-coding RNA (3291 nucleotides) under Populus trichocarpa (black cottonwood). RNAcentral describes it as "long non-coding RNA (PTRI_LNC001677)". Lineage: Eukaryota; Viridiplantae; Streptophyta; Magnoliopsida; Malpighiales; Salicaceae. The record is from RNAcentral.